UGUUCUUCUGUGUGCAAUGAUCUCAUGCUACAGGAUAGUUUGAUAGCAACUCCUGGGAUUCAUUCAGGAGCUUCAGACUGUUCAGACGUUGAUUAGCAACUGCAUUUUUUUCCCAGCUCGCCACGGAAUGGAUCAUGAAGACUGACAACUACAAAAACAAAAAGGAAAAAAAAAGGCUGCUCAUUUGAUAAGUCAUAUGCUAUACAACAGGGUCAUUUUAAGAUUUAAAAGCUUGAAUGUAAAAUAAAUAUAUAUCCCAUCAGCUUUAUGCUGAAUUGUAGGGGUAGUAUUCAGUGUGUGUAGGGGGUGGUAUAAACAAAAACUAAAAGUUUAAAAGGAGGGGGGAAGGAGAAAAAAUGUAUUUUGUGGGGAAACAGAUUUAAAAGGUGAAAGUGAUUUGUGCAUGAUUUUUUUUAUUAUUUUUGCAUAUAUUUACCAUUUUAUUGUGUGUAUAUAUAGAAGACCAUAUUAUAGGAAAUUGACAUUUGUAAUAGUGGAUUUGUUAAUACUUUUUACAUAACAUUACUGUUUAAAUUGUAAACAGAAUUUUCUCAGGAUUAGUUUGAAAAAUAAUCUGAAUUGUCAUCUUAACAUCCAUAUAUAGGAACGUGAUUAGUUCUGUUAUUCAGAAUUUGUUUUCCUCAGCAUUGAAAUGAAUUAAUAGAACACUUGUGACCUGCUGCAAAAGUUUUUCCUCUAAAAAGAAAAGAUUUAUGGUGGCAAAUGAAGUUUAUUUUAUUUUGUAAAAUGUGUACUAUGUAUUUUUGUGUAAACACUGAAAAAACUAUAUAGUCAUCUCUGAUAAUGAACUCGCAACUGUUUUCUAUAGUGCCGUCGUCUUUGGCAUUGGGCAAUUACACUACUUUGUUUUUCUUUGCAGUCUUUUUUUUUCUUCCUAAAAAGGAAAAAAAAAGCCACCUGAAUGUUGUCCAUUCUUGUUGCAGUAAAAAACAAAAAACAAAAAAAAAAAAAAAAAAAAAAAGCAUGAAGGAAAAAUUGAGGUGUGUGUUACAUUUCCUCAAAUGA
Molecule: long non-coding RNA, 1026 nt
Filed under: Monodelphis domestica (gray short-tailed opossum)
Lineage: Eukaryota; Metazoa; Chordata; Mammalia; Didelphimorphia; Didelphidae
Description: lncRNA (ENSMODG00000042267.1)
Source: RNAcentral